Monomorium pharaonis (pharaoh ant) is the source of this 1306-nucleotide long non-coding RNA. RefSeq lists it as uncharacterized. Lineage: Eukaryota; Metazoa; Arthropoda; Insecta; Hymenoptera; Formicidae. The transcript has 2 exons. The record is from RefSeq and is a predicted model, not a curated record.
GACGAGCGAUGCAGAGUUGAUUAAAUCAGUUCUCAAUUGGAAGUCGACUGAUGUAAUCUUCCUCUCGUGGCCGCUAAGCCAUCGCAGAUAGUUCACCGAUAACAGCGCACUGAAAAUGAUUCACAGAAGCAACGUAGCUGAAAUAGGCAAAAUCAUUUCAAAGAAUGAUUACAUGCCAAUAUAUGUACGUAAAUAAUGUAUACAAAUUUCAUCUUAUUGUUAGUUUCAUAAUACUGUUAGAUAUUAUGUAUUGUCGUACGUGAGACAAGUUUCAAAAAAAUCUGUAUGAAUGAUUCUAAUAUAUAUUAACCCUGAAUUAUGGUACACAUUUCUUUCUUACAUUAACACUACAAAAAUUUAUGCACAUAAUUAGAACUUUAUGUUUACUUUAGGUUGCGAGACAUUAGAAUAAAUACAAACUCUAUUUUAAUAUAAAAAUCUUAUUAAAUGUUAUUUAAGCUAUCAAAAAGUUAAAAACUACUAAACUUGAAUUAGCAUUUGGAUGAAACUUUACCCGCGAUAGCAUUAUAUAGGGUUACAUAACAAAAUUCGUAAAUUGUGCUUAUUAGCUUUAUAUUGGAUAGCUGGUCGCCUCUUAUUUGUGUUUUCGUGCUUUUUAUAUCGUAUUAUGAUGCAUUGAAAAAUGAAUUUGAUAGUUAUGAGAUAAUAAUAACGGAGUUCUUGUUUCGAGAACGUAAAAUUGAUGAAUUCUUUCGCGGAUUAUGUAACAUAAAGUGUACAAAGUGUAAAAGAUAACAUAUACAGUAGUUUUAUUUUUAUACGUUACUAUAUUACAAUAUAAUAUAAACAGGUGGUAGACGUCACAUAAAUUCAUUUCAAAUACAGCCAUUGAAAUCAACCUUCGCCAUAGACAUUCGUAAUCAAAUAUAUGCGUGAACAAUCGUGCACGUGUGCUCUGUACUUUUAAUUGGAAUAAUCGCGGCGAUUGUUAUUAGAAAUUUCAGCGAUUAACGCAAUUGCAAGACGGAGAACGAGUCGCCGUCGCGCCAUCGCAAGGCCGGAAGCCGCGAAAAGCAACGUUUUAUUACAUAUUAUCGCGGAGGAAUGUAUAAACGUUGCCAUUUGUACUAUUAAUUUUACUUUUUACUUCUUUUGAAGAUCCUUUUUUAUAUAUUUAAUUUGGAUGCGGUUUGACACAAAGUGUACGUAAAAAAUACGACCGUUCGGCAGGACAGAUCUUAAUUAUUUCGUACACGGUCUCGUACACACGCGUAAUUUCGAAUAAAAUUUAUUAUCGCCGUUUUGAUUUGUUGGAUAUGUCCCUCGUUACACGGGGAUGCAUAAA